UUCACCACAUCGUUAUACAUCAUUGUAUCGACAGCUCGUAAUGACUGCGCCAAGUAAUUUCUCCGUAGUAACAAUUGCUAUAUUCGCCUUUCAACUUUUAGGUCAACUUCGCUGGCGCAUACUUUUACCCUGAACUGAAACCUUCCGUACAGAAAUAUCAAGAUGUCAAUAGGUGUGGACCUAUGGUUGAAGACCACUACCUCGUCUACAGAAACUACCUCUAUGAUUCUCAGUACGGCGGAACUUCCAGAUGCGUCAAGUUUCAUAAAAUUGUUCCCUACACGGACAUUCACGGGUUGACCAAGAUCUCCUGGGAAAGACAUGGCUUUGGACGCCUAUAUAUGCACGGCCACGACACUGCCACUUCAACGCCGGGGUACACGGCAAGAAAUCUGCACACCAUUACAUCUCAUCAUG
Rhipicephalus microplus (southern cattle tick) is the source of this 417-nucleotide long non-coding RNA. NCBI's taxonomy places the organism in Eukaryota, Metazoa, Arthropoda, Arachnida, Ixodida, Ixodidae. The record is from RefSeq and is a predicted model, not a curated record.